GACAUGGUACGGAAAACGCUGGAUAUCACGAUGCGAUUGCAUACAAAACGACCCAAAUGACAAAUGACAAGACGGUAUACGACGCUCUUAAUACUGGAAACGAUUGCCCCAACACAUCACACGUGUACACGUCGUUGGACAAUUCAGCAUCCAUUGCAGACUACGAGAAUGUCAAAAAAAAGGAUCCCGUUUACAACAAUGCUGAAAUAUCCAGUGCAGACUGUAUAUAGUAAAACUAUCUGAUUUCCAUGAACUGAGAUGGUGUAAUUAUUCUUCACUAAACUUUUAAAUAUUUUCACGUGAUUUUUGUUAAAGCUGAUCGCCGGAUCGUUAGGAGACCAACAUUGAUAAACGAUGUGUAUAAUAUGGUAUGCAGUAACCAAUACAACAGCAUCCACCGCCAUAUAGUUUAAGUAGACGUAGAUCUUCUUCAACUUCAUUACACUCCUCUUUAUAUGAACUAAGGCACUGAAUCUACGGUCUUGAAAUAUUAUUGCUGGAAACGUUAUAAUAAAUUAUGCUUAAUACGUCAAGUGAGACAUAGAAGGAGUGAAAGGUAAAUGUUUGUUCUAUCUUUAUGUAAUUUGGAAGGCUUUGACGUCAUUUAAAAUGAUUUAAGAUGACCACAGUGGACAAAUUAAUUAAUAGAUACACAAGACAUGAACAAUAAUAUUGUUUUGUAAUUUCUAGCAUUACACGUGUAUGACAACCAUACAUUUCCGUCAAUUUACGUUCCAACCCAAUUCAUUAAAACAAUAAAGGUAUGUCGCGUUUCUCCUUAGAAAAUUUACUCACUUUGAAAUGCUGCACAAAUAAUUUUUCAAGGCAUCCAUGUUACAUUAGAUUGGAUGAUAGAAAAGUUCUAGUUCAGCAAAAAUAUAAAAUCUCUCAGAUAUUUAUGGGUUUUUUUUCUCUUUGAGUAAGGGUGUUAGACUUAAAUUAAAGUAUAACAAACAAUGUGUAUCACUUAGCUUAGACUAAAACAACAUAUCGAUCUGAAGUGGCAUUCUUAAUCGUAAAUACAGAUACGGCAUCCUGGACCACAUCCUGGUACUUAACGUUAAGUGAACACGUACAUUUAGGUAAUCCCGUCCAUACUUUUUUAAAAAUACACAAACACAUUCGAUCAGUCCUUCAUACACCCAAAAUAGCUCAAUAUGAUGUAGUCGACUCAUUCUCGUUUUUAAAAUCGAAAAAGCGAAAGUUAUGAAAAUCAGUAAAUGGAAUAUUGUGUUUACCAGACAAAAUUCAUGCAUUUAAUAGUGAUAACCUUUUAGUGAAAUGUGAUAGAUUUCUUGCCACAAUGACACAUUUUAAACAAAGCAGUUUGGUCCCUAUAAGUUAACCCGUCCCAGCAUUUUGUGUCACUUUUGACUGAUCCUACAUAUAUAUGCAUACAUCAGAAGUUAGCUCCAUCUGAUAGUCUGUGUCAGGUUUUCAAAUCUCACUGAAUGCCAUCUAAGCGCAUUUUUUGCCCAAAAUGCUAUUACGAGGUUUUUCAACUGGAUCUAGAAUCGAAUGGUAUAUAAAGCAUCAAAUGGUUCAGUUCUACACAUCUUUGCACACAUUUCACAAGCAAUUUCCCUAUACAUUUAUAUGCAAACAACCCACACUCCAGCCAGAAUUUUUUUUAAUCCAAUUAAAAGCAAAUUGAUUUAAACACAAAAGCUUUGCAUUUUUCUAAUUAAAAUUACUAACUGAAUUUUGUAAAGUAAAUUUCUCAAUGAAUCUAUGUUUUAAAUAGGCCGGAAGACAGCCAAGUUCUAUUGCAGCCCAAAAUAUUAAUCACUGAGAUAUUAAUGAAUUCAUUCUCUCUGAGUGCAGGUAUUUGACUGAAUUUAAAGUAUAAUAACUAUAAGUUCACUUUAUAAAGACUAAUACAAAACAUCACUAUAAAGAAGCAUUCUCAAUGUUAAUUAUCUGGUGCUCAAUUGAAAGAUUGACAACAAUGUUUGUUUGCAAAACUCUUGUAGAUUAAUGACGUUAUAAGUAAACACAGAUACAAACCAUAUUUUUCUGCACCAUUGAAGCCCAAUAUUCUAUAUUUAAAACUAUAGCAAUACAUUAUUAGAGCUAUAGUUGUCAUCUACGGAAAUACAGAAUAUGUAACAAACAUAAACGUAUUUUUAUCACAAGCAUUAUCAUAUUUUAAGAUAACGAUAAUAAUUGCACAGAAGAUUUUUACAAAAAAAAUAAAUAAAUCAAAUUUAGGAAUAUCAUGGGCAAACAUUUACUCAUCUACUUAUAUAAUUGAAACAAAAACAUUCCUAAAGUUUUGAAAAGAUUAUUUAUUGCACAUGCUCAAUGAAGUAUAUGUAGCUAAGAAACUCUGACACUAUAUUUGAAAUAUCUGAGUGAUAAUAAAUUACAUUCUUAGUUAUUUAUUGUCAAUAACAUAAUUCAUGUCGAUAUAGAUCAUCUGUAUGUUGCAUGAGGACAAAACCAGUUGCAAUAACUGUUGUUGCGAAAGGUCAACUAUGAAAACAUUUUUCACAUCUAUUACAUAUGGUGGGAAACACUAUUGUUUGAAUAAGUUCAUGUUAAAAUCUCCAUAACCUUUUAAAGUAUGAAUCUGAUUUCCUAUCAAAAAAUAUUUGAGUGCAAUGGUAUUUAAUGACUCAGCUAUUUUUGCAUUAUUGUUUAUGUGUACAUGCAUGUUAGAUUUAAAAGCUGUAAGUAACAGUUCGUAUGCACAAUGUUCAGGCAAAUUAGUCAAGCGCCAAUUUCUUUAUUUUUAUGUAAACCUUUUACAAAUAUAAAAAUAACUCACUUAUUAUGUACGAUUCAUUAUUAUAUUAUUAGACAACGAUUGUCUUUGCAACAAUAUAAGGAAAUGAGACUAUGCUGACGAAAUAUGUACAAUUGAUACUAAGAUGAAUUACUGCCUUUGCCAAUAUUUAUUUGCUUGUUUUUUGCCCUAAAUUUGUCAAAUAUUUGCAAUUCCAAACACCUACACACAUGAAGAUUUUUGUUUAUAAUGAUAAAUAAGGUACCCAAACAAAGGUCCGAAUUUGCAAUUAAAAUCAUCAACAUAUAAAUGAAGUUAUUAGACAGAAAUCAAAACUUUAUCCCUGAACUAUGACUGAAAAUAAAUCCAAUACGCGGUUGCUUUGAUAUAAAUUGUACUUAAGACUAACAAAAUGUUAUGUUUGUUUCUGGUUGAUAUUUGAUAAAUAUUACAUCAAAAGACAUAAAUACAAAGGUGGUAUCUCUUUUCAUGAAAUCUUUGUAUCACAUUGAACAACUCUAUAUGUUAACAAUUGUGAAAGUGGAGGAAUUAAAACGUUUAAAUUGUUUCAAAUGGUGUGAUGCAAUAUUUCAAGGAACACUUGCAGACUGGACAAAAGAGAAUACAACUUAAUGCUGAGCACUUCUUUUGACAAUACAUAAUUAUAUUAUUUAUAGUUCGCCUUAUACUGGAAACUUCAACAGUUUAAACAGCAUACUGAACACUUUCUAUCUCUCAAUGUCCCUCGAGACACUUGAAGACAGACUUCGUACGGGAACAAUUUCAUUAUGUUAUAAUUCAUGAACGGAUGUGUAAUAGUUCUAACAUUUUUGUAAUUUAUUUAACAUUAAAGAUGUAUAAUCGG
This is a long non-coding RNA of Mya arenaria, 3593 nucleotides long. RefSeq lists it as uncharacterized. The record is from RefSeq and is a predicted model, not a curated record. The transcript has 4 exons. NCBI's taxonomy places the organism in Eukaryota, Metazoa, Mollusca, Bivalvia, Myida, Myidae.